RNAcentral lists this ribosomal RNA (492 nucleotides) under uncultured bacterium. RNAcentral's name for it is "partial 16S ribosomal RNA". It matches the Rfam family "Bacterial small subunit ribosomal RNA", at positions 29 to 507 of the family's 1533-position model. The record is from RNAcentral.
AGUGAACGCUGGCGGUAGGCCUAACACAUGCAAGUCGAACGGCAGCACAGUAAGAGCUUGCUCUUACGGGUGGCGAGUGGCGGACGGGUGAGGAAUACAUCGGAAUCUACUUUUUCGUGGGGGAUAACGUAGGGAAACUUACGCUAAUACCGCAUACGACCUACGGGUGAAAGCAGUGGAUCUUCGGACCUUUCGCGAUUGAAUGAGCCGAUGUCGGAUUAGCUAGUUGGCGGGGUAAAGGCCCACCAAGGCGACGAUCCGUAGCUGGUCUGAGAGGAUGAUCAGCCACACUGGAACUGAGACACGGUCCAGACUCCUACGGGAGGCAGCAGUGGGGAAUAUUGGACAAUGGGCGCAAGCCUGAUCCAGCCAUACCGCGUGAGUGAAGAAGGCCUUCGGGUUGUAAAGCUCUUUUGUUGGGAAAGAAAAGCAGCAGGUUAAUACCCCGCUGUUCUGACGGUACCCAAAGAAUAAGCACCGGCUAACUUCGUG